This is a non-coding RNA of Peromyscus maniculatus bairdii (prairie deer mouse), 376 nucleotides long. The record is from RefSeq and is a predicted model, not a curated record. Lineage: Eukaryota; Metazoa; Chordata; Mammalia; Rodentia; Cricetidae.
UAAAGGAUAUAAAUUUUUCAGAAGAACUAGAAGAAGAAAUAACAGAAUGUAAACUGAGAAAUGAGAGAAGUUUUGAUGAGUGCAGAAAAUCAAGAAUUUAGUGUGUGUGAGACCCUAAUGGACUGCAGGAAUCUUCCACAGAAGCUCCCCAUUCAUCCAAUAUGAACAAUGAUGCAGAAAAAAAAUGUAAUAAGGCAUCUAGAGAAAAAAUCUGUCAUGGAAGACCAAAAGCAUACCUCAGAAGAAGAGCAGAGAAGGCACAGUGGUAGAAAAACUAAGCGACCAUUUAUUGAUGCUAUAAGAGCAUGUUUUUGUGCAUGUUUCACCAAAAAAUGGAGCUCUUCUCCCCUCCACAAGAAAUAGAAGACAUAAAAAA